RNAcentral lists this unclassified non-coding RNA (482 nucleotides) under Hevea brasiliensis (rubber tree). The record is from RNAcentral. Lineage: Eukaryota; Viridiplantae; Streptophyta; Magnoliopsida; Malpighiales; Euphorbiaceae.
ACUCACUCACACUCUCCCCUGUAUUUAUUCACAACUUUCCACAGCCUUUUGUCCCAUGGCAUUAACAUGCUCAUGGUAAACAAUUUGAUCAUUAAAAAAAACUGGUUGAGCAUAGAGUUAGAGGGAGUAGACUUACCAUUUUGAUGAUUCUUCUGUUUUGAGAUUGUGUUCUGUAUUUUAGGGACAGUAGCAUGGGAUUCCUCAGUAUGCAAUCUGCAGAUGCCUGUGCUCUUCUCCACUGAGAUUUUCUUGAAUUAGUGUCACCACAUGCUAUCUGUUUAAUUUGUUGAAUUGCUUCAAUGGCUUUCUCUUUCUCUUCUUUCCUCCAUUUCAUCCUCCGAAGCCCAUAUCUCUCCCAUUUUCAUCUGAAAUGUGUUUCUUCAACUAUUUUACCUUCUAAAGCACAAGAACUCUUGCAAGAUUUCACACCAAAGUAAUUUCUCGACACCCUUCGUUAAGAAAAUGAUGAAACUUCAGCUUUU